RNAcentral lists this ribosomal RNA (240 nucleotides) under uncultured Lactobacillus sp. RNAcentral's name for it is "partial 16S ribosomal RNA". It matches the Rfam family "Bacterial small subunit ribosomal RNA", at positions 122 to 355 of the family's 1533-position model. The record is from RNAcentral. Lineage: Bacteria; Bacillati; Bacillota; Bacilli; Lactobacillales; Lactobacillaceae.
UAACCUGCCCAAGAGAUCGGGAUAACACCUGGAAACAGAUGCUAAUACCGGAUAACAACAGAUGAUGCCUAUCAACUGUUUAAAAGAUGGUUCUGCUAUCACUCUUUUAUGGACCUGCGGUGCAUUAGCUAGUUGGUAGGGUAACGGCCUACCAAGGCGAUGAUGCAUAGCCGAGUUGAGAGACUGAUCGGCCACAUUGGGACUGAGACACGGCCCAAACUCCUACGGGAGGCAGCAGCC